Long non-coding RNA from Rhipicephalus microplus (southern cattle tick), 564 nucleotides. NCBI's taxonomy places the organism in Eukaryota, Metazoa, Arthropoda, Arachnida, Ixodida, Ixodidae. The record is from RefSeq and is a predicted model, not a curated record.
ACUUCCUCCAGGGGGCGCAGAAACAGCGACACGCAUCUUAUUGCCACGUUGGAUUUGAUUGCCGGCAAAAAUGAAGGUUAAAGAAAUAGAUAGAACAGCCAACGUGGCCUGGGCGCCGGCUGUGCACCACCCGAUUUAUAUUGCAGCCGGCACUGCCGCUCAGCAGCUGGAUUCCACGUUCAGCACGUCGGCUGCACUCGAGAUAUAUGCACUGAACCUCACGGAGCCAGGACUGGAUAUGGAACUUGUCGAACUCUUGAUUCCGAUCACAGGUUCCAUAAGAUUGCCUGGGGCUGGCAUGGCAUGUCAGAUGGUGAACUGGCCAGUGGUGUGCUCGUCGGCGGGGCCGACGCUGGCAACCUGCUAGUUUAUGACCCAGCAAAGCUCAUUAAGGGGGAGGAUUCACUCAUUUGCCAAAAGAACAAGCAUACUGGCCCUGUGUAUGCACUUGACUUCAACACAUUUCAGGCAAAUCUUCUGGCAUCAGGGUCGACUGACUCGGAAAUCUUCAUAUGGGACCUUAAUAGUCCCAAUGCGCCAAUGACUCCUGGCGCCAAAUCUCAG